This 403-nucleotide ribosomal RNA is filed under the name uncultured bacterium. RNAcentral's name for it is "bacterial SSU rRNA". It matches the Rfam family "Bacterial small subunit ribosomal RNA", at positions 355 to 775 of the family's 1533-position model. The record is from RNAcentral.
UAGGGAAUAUUAGUAAUGGGCGAAAGCCUGAACUAGCAACGCCGCGUGUGCGAAGAAGGCCUUCGGGUUGUAAAGCACUUUUUGAGAGGAUGAGGAAGGACGGUACUCUCAGAAUAAGUCUCGGCUAACUACGUGCCAGCAGCCGCGGUAACACGUAGGAGGCGAACGUUAUCCGGAUUUACUGGGCGUAAAGCGCGUGUAGGUGGUUUGGUAAGUAGGGCGUGAAAGCUCCUGGCUCAACUGGGAGAGGCCGUUCUAAACUGCCGAACCAGAGGAUGGUAGAGGGAGGUGGAAUUCCGGGUGUAGUGGUGGAAUGCGCAGAUAUCCGGAGGAACACCAGUGGCGAAAGCGGCCUCCUGGACCAUUCCUGACACUCAGACGCGAAAGCUAGGGUAGCGAACGG